Long non-coding RNA from Patella vulgata (common limpet), 629 nucleotides. RefSeq lists it as uncharacterized. The record is from RefSeq and is a predicted model, not a curated record. The transcript has 3 exons. Lineage: Eukaryota; Metazoa; Mollusca; Gastropoda; Patellidae.
UCGUCUAACAUUAACUUGUACAGUUGAUUAUAAUCCUGUAUCAACUAUUACAUGGUAUGGUCCAGAUGGUCGUGAAGUAUCUAAUAAUAAAGAUUUGGUUAUAAAUAAAAUUAACAGAAAUCAGUCUGGUAUUUAUAACUGUACAGCUAUUCAGGUAAUACAACCUGCUAAUGGUAAUCCACAGAUUAAAACAGACAGUACAACGGUUCUGGUGAAAAUUGCUGAAGAAAUGGCGAAAGUGUUAUAAGAUUAUAAGAGAAACGUCAACACUCUAGAUUUAAACAUCAGGGGUGAAUCAUUAUCCAGUACAUAUAACAGCCUGGGGUUUAAUAUCGUAUCUGAUAUGUUACCCAACCCAUAUCUUAAUUUAGACGAAAUACCAACAAAUUAGCCUAGAUGUUUUUGUUGAUUUAUAUAGUAAUUUUUUUUUGUACAUUUAAUUUAUUUGUUACGCUUUGUUCAAUUUUGUUGAAAAUCAGUUUACUGUAAGUAAAAUGGAUUAUGGUUAUAUAUAAUAUGCAUUAUUAUAGUACCAUAAUCGUGCAUUAUAUUUAUAAGAUGACGAUAAUGCUAAAAAUAUAUAGUACCCCAUAAUUUUUUUGGUGCAUUGUAUUUAUAAUAUAUCACGA